Molecule: ribosomal RNA, 474 nt
Filed under: uncultured bacterium
Lineage: Bacteria
Description: bacterial SSU rRNA
Rfam family: Bacterial small subunit ribosomal RNA
Source: RNAcentral
ACUCCUACGGGAGGCAGCAGUGGGGAAUAUUGCACAAUGGGCGCAAGCCUGAUGCAGCCAUGCCGCGUGUGUGAAGAAGGCCUUCGGGUUGUAAAGCACUUUCAGUCGUGAGGAAGGUAGUGUAGUUAAUAGCUGCAUUAUUUGACGUUAGCGACAGAAGAAGCACCGGCUAACUCCGUGCCAGCAGCCGCGGUAAUACGGAGGGUGCGAGCGUUAAUCGGAAUUACUGGGCGUAAAGCGCAUGCAGGUGGUUUGUUAAGUCAGAUGUGAAAGCCCGGGGCUUAACCUCGGAAUUGCAUUUGAAACUGGCAGGCUAGAGUCUUGUAGAGGGGGGUAGAAUUUCAGGUGUAGCGGUGAAAUGCGUAGAGAUCUGAAGGAAUACCAGUGGCGAAGGCGGCCCCCUGGACAAAGACUGACGCUCAGAUGCGAAAAGCGUGGGGAGCAAACAGGAUUAGAUACCCUGGUAGGAUAGCG